GCUGCGGGGGUGAAGGCUGGGGGCGCGGGCGGGGGGCGCUGCGGGGAUGAGGGCUGGGGGCGCUGCGGGGUGAAGGCUGGGGGCGCGGGCGCCCGGGCCUCCUCUGUAGGCCACUUAGCGGCAGCAGACGGUGGAGUCUGGGCCUGGGAGGGUGACCUGAUCCUUUGCUCUUUAAAGAGAAACCGGAAAGCUAGAUUUUUGCUUGAAAUGUUGGCAACUGGUGUACUUUAAAUUUUAAUGGAAAUUCCUUGCCUACGAAGGGACACGCUGUCCCCGGACGCGGGGUCCUCCUGUCUGUGCGGGAAGCGGGCGGGAGAUGUGGGAGCGCUGAGGCCGCCCAGAGCCAGAAGGCCUUGAGGGACCAGGAACCUACGAAGUCCCCAGGAAGGGGGGCUCCCCUGGCCCCCAGAUGUAGGCACCCCCGGCACUAGGGCCUGGCAUCUCUACCUGCCGACUCCACCCCUGCCACGGUGCCCCAUUCCCGCCACGAAUGACUUCGUAAUGUUCUUCAUGGCUGAAACACUUAACUAUAAAACUUUUUUCUCGUGCAAAAUUUUAAACAUAUACAGAAGUAGAAAGAGUCACAAACUGGCCAGGCAUGGUGGCUCACACCUGUAAUCCCAGCACUUUGGAAGGCGGAGGCGGGCGGAUCACUUGAGGUUGGAAGUUCGAGACUAGCCUGGCCAACAUGAGAAACCUGUCUCUACUAAAAAUAAAAAAAUUAGCCGUGUGUGGUGGCACGCUCCUGUAAUUUCAGCUACUGGGGAGGCAGAGGCAGGAGAAUCAUUUGAACCUGGGAGGCGGAGGUUGCGGUGAGUCAAGGUCCCACCACUGCACUCCAGCCUGAGCAACAAAGAGACUCUGUCGGAAAGAAGGAAAGAAAGAAAGAGAGAGAAAGAAAGAAAAAGAAAAAAAAAAGAGAGAAAGAAAGAGAGAGAGAAAACACAAAUCCCUCGCACCCAUCACCCAACUUCAGAGAUUGAUGUUCAUAGCUAGGUGUCACCUAUUAACCCUCCAACCCGAGGACACUUCAACCACACUGUACCCCACCCUCAUGGGGUUAUUUUGGAGUAAAUAUGAGAAAUCAUCUCUAUUCCAGGGUGUGUGACUAACAGUGUUUUGAAGAAAUCACAUUCUUUGCCCUGUAGAGUCACCCACAUUUGGAUUCCCAGUGUUCCUGCUCCCCGUGGUUCCUGUAAACUGGCAGAUCCUUCAGGAUGACGGCAGAUACCAUUUUUACUGCGGAUGGAAGUUUCCCAAUGUUAAGCAGAGGGGGUCUCUUCAGAUUGCUCCUGGGUCCGUCAAAUAUGAUCACAGGAGGUUUUUGUUUUCUUUUCUUUUCUUUUUGAGCAUCCUUGCUUGUUGAUGUGACAAAAUGUUCCAGGGUCAUCCAGUAGGUUUCCGGCCCUAAAUAUGGAAUCCACCAUUUCUACAAGGAAACUUGACUCCUUUUAAUGGAAAAUGGUUUUCAAGGUCAUAAUCUAGGAGCUGGAGAGUUGACAUCUUUGCCCUGGUCCCCUUUUGCCCACGUGGUUAAUGUGCACGCGGGCAGGUGAGCUGAUGCAGAGUCCCCCGUGGCUGGAUCAGGGCACAUCCAGGUUGACUUCUCUUCCGGAGCCUUCACAGUGCCUACUCCAGGAAUGGCUCACUCAGUCACAAAGCUCACCUCCUCUGCCUCCUCUAGGAAGGAUUCCAGUGUAAGAAGCAGUAGAAUCAAUAGCCUCGAGGCACAAGGAGCUUGGCACCUUCCAGGAAGGAAGAAGCCCAGGGGGCUGAGCACAGUGACUGGAUCAAGACAUUAGAAGAGGCCAGGAGGCCCUCGGAGGGCCAGACAGGAGUUGGAAUGCUAUUCUAAAAGCGACUGGGAUUGUGUUUUUGGCCAGACACAGUGGCUCACACCUGUAAUCCCAGCACUUUGGGAGGCCAAGGCGGGCAGAUCACUGGAGGUCAGGAGUUCAAGACCAGCCUGCGCAACCUGGGGAAACUCUGUCUCUACUAAAAAUACAAAAAUUAGCUGGGUGCGUGGUGCAUGCCUGUAAUCCCAGCUACUCGGGAGGCUGAGGCAGGAGAAUCACUUGAACCCGGGAGGCGGAGGUUGCAGUGAGCCGAGAUGGUGUCACUACACUCCAGGCUGGGCAACAGAGCAAGACUCUGUCUUUAAUAAUAAAUGAAUAAAUAAAUACCACAGGAAGCCCCUGAAUGGAGUAAGUUGGGAAGCAACAUGGCCUGGUGUGAAUUUGCAGAUGUUCACUGAGUCUAUGCUGACUGCCCUAUAGAUGUCUGGGACCUCAACGUGGGUGCCUCUGUAGGGCUGUCGUCCCAGAGCUACAUCCCAACCUCUUCAGAGGUGAGACACACAGAACAAGGAAGCACUGACAGAAUUCAAGGCAGAUCUAACACGUGGGUCUACAGGUGCUUUACAAAAUUUGCUUCCAUGGAGGCAACUUCCCAGACACCUGAGUCUUUCCAUGGAAAAAAAUGAUACUAUAGUUGUUUAUUGGUGAAAGAGAAAAGUUAGCUCAAACUUGGAAGAUGGCAAAUUAAGAAUAUACAAAACAAUUUUACAUGUACACAUCCUCAGACUUCAUAGGUGAAUGGCUGUGAGCUGACCGUGCUGCGUUUCCCAAAGCCCGCCCAAUGGCAUCCAUGGGGUGGUCGUUUCAUUUGUCUGUUUGGUUCAUUUUGUUUAUGCACAAUUUUAUUAAGAUCUAAUUGGAAUGCAGAAAACUUUAUAGGUGUUCAAAGUGUAAAAUUUAAUAAAGAUGAAUACUCUUGAAAGCAUCACCAGAAUCAAGAGAGUGUUUAGGACCAAAUAGAAUUUUUAAAAUAAUGCUUAUAGUUACAAAGUUUUAUUUCCUUUCUCCCCACCUCCUAUGUAUGAUUGUUUAAAUCAAGCCAAAAUUUUCAAAUUGUUUUGACCAAAAAAAAAAAAAAUCUUGCAAUGGAAAAAGAGGUAGAUAACUUUAAAUCUAAUUGGCUAUGGGCAGCUUCAGAGGACAGUCUGUUUACCUGAACCUCUCCUCACUGGGCACCACUGGGUACUCAGGUCCCCUAUGGGAAUGAAGAGAGGAGGCCUUAAAUGGUUCUCAGCUCCUUGUGGAAAUGUAACAAUGUGAGGACAAGUCCCCCUGUUUGUGAUUUGAGGUUUCCUCUUCUGCCUUCCGCUUGCUGGUGGGAGUAACCCUGUCCCUGUAUAACAGGCACAGUUACUAACAGCGCUGCUGUCGGCCUCUUAACAUGUACCCCUCCAGAGGCCUGAGAAGGGGUCCCUCCCUGUGUGGUCUGGGCUCUGAAGCCCAUCCUGGCCUUGGCCCAUCCUCCCAACCCCAUCCCCUACCUUGUUACUCCCAUGUAAGGCAUUCCAAGUCCUAGUUCACCUUGGCACUUUUACCCUGUUUGAAUUUCAUUACUGGGAAAUUCUCCCACCCUCCUACUUGAGUGAUUUAUUUCCAUUCUUCAGAUUCCAGCGAAAUGCCACCUCACAUCUGCACAUCUGUAACCCCUACUGGGGAGGCUGAGGCUGUAGGAUCCGUUGAACCCAGGGAAUUUUGAGGUCAGCCUGGGGGAAAAAAGCAAGAUCCCAGUUAUAAAAAUAAGGCCAGGUGCAGUGGCUCAUGCCUCUAAUCAAUCCCAGUACUUUGGGAAGCUGAGGCAGGUGGAUCGUUUGAGAUUCUGAGUUCAAGACCAGCCUGGCCAACAUGGUGAAACCCCAUCUCUACUAAAUAUACAAAAAUUAGCUGGGUGUGGUGGCAUGUGCCUAAAAUCCCAGCUACUUGGGAGGCUGAGGCAGAAGAAUCUCUUGAACUCAGGAGGCAGAGGUUGCAGUGAGACAAGAUCACACCACUGCAUUCCAGCCCAGGCAACAGAGUAACAUUGUCUCAAAAAAAUGAAAAUAAGGCCGGUCGCGGUGGCUCAAGCCUGUAAUCCCUGCACUUUGGGAGGCCGAGGUGGGUGGAUCAUGAGGUCAAGAGCUCGAGACCAUCUUGGUCAACAUGGUGAAACCCCAUCUCUACUAAAAAUACAAAAAAUUAGCUGGACAUGGUGGUGCGUCCCUGUAAUCCCAGCUACUCGGGAGGCUGAGGCAGGAGAAUUGCCUGAACCCAGGAGGCGGAGGUUGCGGUGAGCCGAGAUCGCACAUUGCACUCCAGCCUGGGUAACGAGAGUGAAACUCUGUCAAAAAAAAAAAAAAUUAAAAUAAAAAAUAGAAAUAAAAUAAAUGUCAACUCAGAUGAACCCUGUAAUGAAAACUUGUCUUUCUUAGCACGCAGCAUCAGGAAUACAUUUUGGGUUUGUUUCUCCCACCAGACUCAGUUUCCCAAGGACAAGGACCAUCUUGUUUCUAAGUAUGUGCGUGAGACCAGGUUUGGUAUUUGGCAUAUAAGACACGAUCAGCGCUCAGCAUUCUGGUAACUGUCUAGCAGUAAUGUGAGCUGGAAAGACUUGGGACUGAAAUCAGUGGAUGGAACUGGUUCCUAACCAAGGGCCAUAUUACCCACCAGGAGACAUUUGCAAGGCCAGGAGAUUUUUUUCCUUUGUCAGGAGGAGGUAGAGGCUGGCCACUGUCUUCAGUGAGCAGAGGUCAGGACUGCGAAGUGCCCCGCACUGCAUAAGACUGCCCCCAACAGUGAGGCAUUGUUCGGUGGGAAAUGUCAGUCACGCAGAGGUUAAGAAGCCCUGAUCUAUAGUGACCCCGGCCAAACAAAUUCUCAGUUCUAUUGAGACAGUCUGUCUUUUGCUGAUAUGUUCUGAUACCUGAAAAUCAAAUGAUCUCCCUGGGUUUCAAAAAGCUGUUCAUUUUCUUUAGCUUCCUUUCUCUUGGAAAAACAGCACAUUUUGAUCUCAGAUGGUAAACAUUUUAGUUAUUAUACAGUGACCCUUUAGAGUAUUUCUAUUCAAGAUUUUGUAAUUUAGAAACCAAUUUCUAAGUGUUU
Callithrix jacchus (white-tufted-ear marmoset) is the source of this 4931-nucleotide non-coding RNA. The record is from RefSeq and is a predicted model, not a curated record. Lineage: Eukaryota; Metazoa; Chordata; Mammalia; Primates; Cebidae.